AAGAAUUCCUCAGAAAAUUCUGUAUAAAAAUAAAAAGGGAACAUCUUCCCCAAGAAGGAGGGGCAGUUUCUCUCCUGAGUGUGAAACCGGUUCUCGGUACUGCUUCACCACAGAUGCCAUUUGCCAUUGAUGACCGUUGUUUUCUCCCCUUGGAGGAGUAUAAGCAAGGGGA
Molecule: small nucleolar RNA, 172 nt
Filed under: Catagonus wagneri (Chacoan peccary)
Lineage: Eukaryota; Metazoa; Chordata; Mammalia; Artiodactyla; Tayassuidae
Description: Small nucleolar RNA U3 (ENSCWAG00000011917.1)
Rfam family: Small nucleolar RNA U3
About the family: Small nucleolar RNAs (snoRNAs) are involved in the processing and modification of rRNA in the nucleolus. There are two main classes of snoRNAs: the box C/D class, and the box H/ACA class. U3 snoRNA is a member of the box C/D class.
Source: Rfam by way of RNAcentral